This 620-nucleotide long non-coding RNA is filed under the name Macaca nemestrina (pig-tailed macaque). RNAcentral describes it as "lncRNA (ENSMNEG00000045925.1)". Lineage: Eukaryota; Metazoa; Chordata; Mammalia; Primates; Cercopithecidae. The record is from RNAcentral.
AACUCCUGCAAUUCACACUGAGUAUGCCUCCUUUUUCAGUAUUGCCAAGUCCUGGACCAAUUUGUGUACAGAUCUCUGGCCAACUGUGAAACCUCUUCAGCCUUUCACCUGCAUCAUCAAAUGUGGAGGACUGGAGGCAAUGAGAGACUGAUGCACACUCUGGAGAGAAACUGAUACUCCUAAAGGUACUGUUUACCACAAUGAACACACUUUUAUCAUGUCAACAGCUUCCAUCUCUACAUUGCCCUGUGUAAGAAUACACUGGGAGCUGAUAUAACCUCAGUGAUGGUAAAACAGGAUAUGGAAUCCAGCAAACAUUCCUUAAAUGGACCUAACAUCAAUAUUCUGAAACAGAAGUGGAAAUGAAACUGAGACAGAAAAAGAAUUGGGUAAUAAAUGUACUAAAGAGCAAUUUUUCUAAUAGUUGGCAGAAGGUGGUAAAAGAUUUGGAAGCUGGAAAAUGAGACUCUGUCUCUGAUAGAAAACAUGCAUUUUAGGAGCUGAACACAUGGAGGUUCCUGGAAGAUGGUGAGCCCAGGGAGGGUAUGGAAGCUCCACGCCUCCUUCCUUUCUUAUACCUCGUCCUAUGCAUCUUUUCAUCUGUAUCCUUUGUAAUGCCC